Molecule: small nucleolar RNA, 138 nt
Organism: Ornithorhynchus anatinus (platypus)
Lineage: Eukaryota; Metazoa; Chordata; Mammalia; Monotremata; Ornithorhynchidae
Source: RefSeq, a predicted model, not a curated record
CCCCUCUCAGGGUCGCACCUGGAAAGUUUCCAAUACUCUACCAGUUUCGGCUAUGGGAGGGAGAAUCAAGCGGUCGUCUAUCCAUUCCAUUCCUAGCUUGAGCUCUGGCUAGUGAGUGGAAGGCAGUCUGCUACAAGU